GGGCCGGUAGUCUAGCUGGCUAACCUUGCCGAUAAUGGGGCCGAAGGACGUCGCCCUCACGCGGCGAAGAUCGCUGGUUCAAGUCCGGCCCGGCCCACCA
This 100-nucleotide transfer RNA is filed under the name Candidatus Bathyarchaeota archaeon. RNAcentral describes it as "tRNA-Val". It matches the Rfam family "tRNA". Rfam says of the family: Transfer RNA (tRNA) molecules are approximately 80 nucleotides in length. Their secondary structure includes four short double-helical elements and three loops (D, anti-codon, and T loops). RNAcentral also lists the same sequence under 1 other name. Lineage: Archaea; Thermoproteati; Candidatus Bathyarchaeota. The record is from RNAcentral.